RNAcentral lists this long non-coding RNA (852 nucleotides) under Pongo abelii (Sumatran orangutan). RNAcentral describes it as "lincRNA". Lineage: Eukaryota; Metazoa; Chordata; Mammalia; Primates; Hominidae. The record is from RNAcentral.
AUGGAGAGUGCAUGCUUUGGAUUCAAGACUGGGAAUGAGGGACCAGAAACCUGUUCUGUGGCUGUUUGUUGUUAGGACUUUCCUAAGCCUCUGGAAAAGUGCAAAGUACAAUUAACAUUUGAGUCUGUCUGAGUCAUGAAGAAAUGGAGAUUACUGAAAAUAAUUCAUUUUGGUAUCGUCUUACAUCCUGAGAGACUAAUCUUUCCAAGUUCAUCUGAGGCUCCUCUUCUCCAUGACAACCUCAUCCAGGGAUUUCUUCCUGUCCUGGUGUUUUAUGACAUCAUCCUCAUCUCUCCUGUAAGGAUAAUAGCCUUCCUCCAAACCUCACACACUUUUGGAGGAGAUCACUUUUUUUUAAAGUGCAUUGGAAAUGUUUUGAAAACAGUGAAAUCUUAUAAUGAUAGGUUUCAUAAUUCUAACAUCCACACCAUAUGAAUCACAUCCUUCCUGAGAUAAUGAGCACACAAUUGCCUGGAUACCUGAAGGAAUGGAGACAGUGGCAGAAAACACUGCAGAGAGGUGGAAACAUCCGUUAAUAUUUUAAAUCCAUUACUGCUACCAACAAUAAUAACAGAUGCAUAGAAAUAGAUCUGGAUUAGCUGAGCUUGAAACAGUCCAUCUCACACACACCAAAAGAAUCAGAUACAGUGAACCCACAUGUUGAAGCUUUCUAGUAUAAUAAAAAUUUCAACUGUUCUGUUGAAUCAUCUGUCCUGAUUGGAGCUACAGAAAAGUUCAUCUUAGGAGUGCUUGCUCUGAGUGAGGCUCGUCUUCAAAUCUGAAUGACCACAAGGAGAUUUGAUUAUACAUGUGAACACCUCAGAAGGCACAGCCCGCCCAGAAGGCAGACAG